CGUGCAGGUGGUCUUGUAAGUUGGAUGUGAAAGCUCCCGGCUUAACUGGGAGAGGUCGUUCAAAACUGCAGGACUUGAGAUUGGUAGAGGGAGGUGGAAUUCCGGGUGUAGUGGUGAAAUGCGUAGAUAUCCGGAGGAACACCAGUGGCGAAAGCGGCCUCCUGGACCAAUUCUGACACUCAGACGCGAAAGCUAAGGUAGCAAACG
Molecule: ribosomal RNA, 207 nt
Filed under: uncultured Anaerolineaceae bacterium
Lineage: Bacteria; Bacillati; Chloroflexota; Anaerolineae; Anaerolineales; Anaerolineaceae
Description: partial 16S ribosomal RNA
Rfam family: Bacterial small subunit ribosomal RNA
Source: RNAcentral